GGAGGAUAUGAGAAUAGCAUGGGUCCAGGUUGGUGCCUUGACUUUCAAGGGCACUCAACUAGAUUGGGAUAGGAUGUAGCCUCGGCUAGGAGAAGUCUAAGUUAACACUAGUUCUAAGAUACAUAGAGUUCUACUAGCAAGAUAUAGUGCAAGAUAAACUAAAACUAAUGCAAAAAUAAGCAAAGAUAAAAUAUGAUCUAUUGAUGUGUCCAAGCUUCUUUCUUCUAAUUAUAAUUUGAUAUUUAUAAGCGGCUCCUCUUAAUUGGUAAGAUAGGUGCCAUAGGCCCACAGCUCAUCUUAAAUACUUAUUCUUGCUAUUAUGUGUUACAUAACCUAGAAUUGCCACAAAUAAUAGGUAGCACUACCCGUCCUCUCAAGUCAUGGGUGGUGGAAAGGUUUGACUAUUCAUUGUGGACAUUUUAUUCUUGUAUGCCACAUACGGGCCACUAUAACCAUGUAUGAUAGGUAGUUCGACUAUUUCUCACAUGCAUGAGUGGCGAUAACUAUCGGCCAACCACCAAUUUUGGACCACUAAGAUCUCGUCCUAGACUAAUAAAUCUCACCCUCUUAAUUUACAGUAACUUGGCCUGAACCCCUGGUAUUUUAGUCUGCACAUUCGUGUUUCAACCUGAAAUCUUGGUAUUUCGACCUACAUCUUACUUGGUGUAUUAGUCUGCAUCCUUGGUAUUUCGGAUUAUAUUUUUGGUGUUUCAGUCUGACCUUUGGUACUUCAGCCCAAUCUCUUAGUAUUUCGGCCUAUUUGACAUUUCAUAGGAGGCUAGCACAUAACUUGGCCUACUUCAGAAUAGUUUAG
Molecule: long non-coding RNA, 814 nt
Filed under: Phoenix dactylifera (date palm)
Lineage: Eukaryota; Viridiplantae; Streptophyta; Magnoliopsida; Arecales; Arecaceae
Description: long non-coding RNA (PDAC_LNC013493)
Source: RNAcentral